Molecule: ribosomal RNA, 700 nt
Filed under: Burkholderia cepacia
Lineage: Bacteria; Pseudomonadati; Pseudomonadota; Betaproteobacteria; Burkholderiales; Burkholderiaceae
Description: bacterial SSU rRNA
Rfam family: Bacterial small subunit ribosomal RNA
Source: RNAcentral
GCCUGAUCCAGCAAUGCCGCGUGUGUGAAGAAGGCCUUCGGGUUGUAAAGCACUUUUGUCCGGAAAGAAAUCCUUGGCUCUAAUACAGUCGGGGGAUGACGGUACCGGAAGAAUAAGCACCGGCUAACUACGUGCCAGCAGCCGCGGUAAUACGUAGGGUGCAAGCGUUAAUCGGAAUUACUGGGCGUAAAGCGUGCGCAGGCGGUUUGCUAAGACCGAUGUGAAAUCCCCGGGCUCAACCUGGGAACUGCAUUGGUGACUGGCAGGCUAGAGUAUGGCAGAGGGGGGUAGAAUUCCACGUGUAGCAGUGAAAUGCGUAGAGAUGUGGAGGAAUACCGAUGGCGAAGGCAGCCCCCUGGGCCAAUACUGACGCUCAUGCACGAAAGCGUGGGGAGCAAACAGGAUUAGAUACCCUGGUAGUCCACGCCCUAAACGAUGUCAACUAGUUGUUGGGGAUUCAUUUCCUUAGUAACGUAGCUAACGCGUGAAGUUGACCGCCUGGGGAGUACGGUCGCAAGAUUAAAACUCAAAGGAAUUGACGGGGACCCGCACAAGCGGUGGAUGAUGUGGAUUAAUUCGAUGCAACGCGAAAAACCUUACCUACCCUUGACAUGGUCGGAAUCCUGCUGAGAGGCGGGAGUGCUCGAAAGAGAACCGGCGCACAGGUGCUGCAUGGCUGUCGUCAGCUCGUGUCGUGAGA